RNAcentral lists this ribosomal RNA (113 nucleotides) under Foissnerides sp. Its description in RNAcentral is "5.8S ribosomal RNA". It matches the Rfam family "5.8S ribosomal RNA", at positions 1 to 113 of the family's 154-position model. Rfam says of the family: 5.8S ribosomal RNA (5.8S rRNA) is a component of the large subunit of the eukaryotic ribosome. It is transcribed by RNA polymerase I as part of the 45S precursor that also contains 18S and 28S rRNA. Functionally, it is thought that 5.8S rRNA may be involved in ribosome translocation. Lineage: Eukaryota; Ciliophora; Litostomatea; Haptorida; Trachelophyllidae. The record is from RNAcentral.
AAAUUUUCAACGAUGGAUGUCUUGGCUCCCAUAUCGAUGAAGAACGCAGCAAGAAUGCGAUAUGCAAUGUGAAUUGCAGAACCAUGAAUCAUCGGAUCUUUGAACGCAACUGG